GGAAAUUUAGGUCAAGGACGCCGGGAGCACACCCACACCCUGCGCUCCCAGGGCAGUCCUCGAGAUCCUCGGGAUCUCGGGAGCUUGCGGAUGGAGGAGACCCUCCUGCACAAACAUCAGCCACAAGUUUUAUUUUCCCUUCGCGCGGCAAGUUCUCUGGCUCCCGCUCCACACUGGCACGUCCUGCACGGCUCCCCGCCCUUCCCCGGCAGAGGCAGAAGUCAGUGGCUACCUUCCUGAUAUCGACUUGAACAGACUCUUAAGUGGUGAGCCGAGAGGAGACCUGAUGGGCCGGGGCCCCAAGCUCUGCAGUGUCCAAGCCAGAGACUGAUAAAGGACUAAAGGAGAAAGCUACGUCUCUCCACUGUUUUUACUAAGAGUUGGAAAUCUGGUGUCUGGCUGAAGAGUUGUGUUUCUUUUUGCCUCUUAUGACUGACUCUCCUUUCUCACCUCUAGUUCAAAAUGACUGCAUGCAGCCAAGCCACCAACUUCGUCUUGAUGAAAGGGGCCGGGCUCCCAGAAGAAAAUAGCUUUGCCUUUCAACUCCACCUGGAAACGGUUGACAUGGCGCUACCUAGCCUUGGAGCUUCCCCCAUCUCUGCCAAGGCUGGCCCCUGCCAAUCUAAUCUAAAUAUUACAGCUGGAAGUACAGGGUCUCCCCCACCCCCGACCCUUUCUCCCACACUCUGUACGCUGUACCUUGGGACCUUUCAACAUUCUCUCUAGUCAUUCUGAGCACCUGCACCCUGCCCAUCCACUAAGGCAACAGGCUCAGACCCACAGCUACACAUUAGUUUUUUAAAAAAACUUUUGUUCCCUCUUUACACAAUACAGGAGGUGGUCACAGCAGCUGAACACAGCCCGGCAACAGUGUUAACUCCACUAUGUUUGUAUCUCGGGAAGGCCGGUCCAACAAAAUCUCUGCAGAUCUUUGAGAAAUUGCCACUUUGUAGAAGAAACGUGCACUUUGGAGGACUGUGGGUGAGUGUGUCCUCUACUGGUGAUCAGAGGAAGCGCUUUGUACUGUAGGUUCCCUCUUCUGGUGGAGCAGGGGAAAAAAAAAAAAGACUGUCUCCUCCCUUUACAGACUCUCAUUCCAGAGUUCAAGUUCCUGCUCCCAAAUUCUGACAUCAAAAUCUCCCCAAUUUAGGGGUUUCCUGGAGCUGAUGCCAAGACCCACCACGAUAGCCCAUGCUGCAAUUUCUACAAUUAAUACCAGUCAGCU
This 1225-nucleotide long non-coding RNA is filed under the name Mus pahari (shrew mouse). RNAcentral's name for it is "lncRNA (MGP_PahariEiJ_G0004647.1)". The record is from RNAcentral. Lineage: Eukaryota; Metazoa; Chordata; Mammalia; Rodentia; Muridae.